RNAcentral lists this long non-coding RNA (357 nucleotides) under Ananas comosus (pineapple). RNAcentral describes it as "long non-coding RNA (ACOM_LNC035141)". The record is from RNAcentral. Lineage: Eukaryota; Viridiplantae; Streptophyta; Magnoliopsida; Poales; Bromeliaceae.
UAGUUUCGCACUUUCUCACUUUAGUACUUUACGGUUUAAAAUGUAUUAUUUUCGUAUCUUGUGGUUUCGUUUUUCUCUUUCGUUAUCUCCUCUAUUAAUUUUUUUCAUUAAAUUAGUGAUUAAGCGAAAACAAACUACAUGGUACUAAAGUGUAUAUACGAUAAACCAUAGGUGGGUGUUUGAAGUUUUUUGUAUAUGAUUUAACAGAGAGUUAAUAGAAGCGCUGUCGAAAAGAAAAAAAAAUGAAAUCAUAUGGUACUAAAAUUAUACACUUCAAACUAUAUAAUAUUAAAGUGAGAAAGCGCAAAAUUAUAGGGGUUGUCUUGAAAGCUUAUCAAUAUAAAUAUUAUUAUAUUU